This 515-nucleotide ribosomal RNA is filed under the name Sus scrofa (pig). RNAcentral describes it as "partial 16S ribosomal RNA". It matches the Rfam family "Bacterial large subunit ribosomal RNA", at positions 1938 to 2624 of the family's 2925-position model. The record is from RNAcentral. Lineage: Eukaryota; Metazoa; Chordata; Mammalia; Artiodactyla; Suidae.
UAUUCUGACCGUGCAAAGGUAGCAUAAUCACUUGUUCUCCAAAUAAGGACUUGUAUGAAUGGCCACACGAGGGUUUUACUGUCUCUUACUUCCAAUCAGUGAAAUUGACCUUCCCGUGAAGAGGCGGGAAUAAAAAAAUAAGACGAGAAGACCCUAUGGAGCUUUAAUUAACUAUUCCAAAAGUUAAACAAUUCAACCACAAAGGGAUAAAACAUAACUUAACAUGGACUAGCAAUUUCGGUUGGGGUGACCUCGGAGUACAAAAAACCCUCCGAGUGAUUUUAAUCUAGACAAACCAGUCAAAAUAACCAUAACAUCACUUAUUGAUCCAAAACUUUGAUCAACGGAACAAGUUACCCUAGGGAUAACAGCGCAAUCCUAUUCUAGAGUUCCUAUCGACAAUAGGGUUUACGACCUCGAUGUUGGAUCAGGACACCCAAAUGGUGCAACCGCUAUUAAAGGUUCGUUUGUUCAACGAUUAAAGUCCUACGUGAUCUGAGUUCCAAACCGGGAGA